UAGCCUAGUGGUUAAGGCUAUGGAUCGCCAAUCCGGAGACGGCGGGUUAGAUUCCCGU
Aedes albopictus (Asian tiger mosquito) is the source of this 58-nucleotide non-coding RNA. Lineage: Eukaryota; Metazoa; Arthropoda; Insecta; Diptera; Culicidae. The record is from Rfam.